RNAcentral lists this ribosomal RNA (253 nucleotides) under uncultured bacterium. RNAcentral's name for it is "partial 16S ribosomal RNA". It matches the Rfam family "Bacterial small subunit ribosomal RNA", at positions 524 to 776 of the family's 1533-position model. The record is from RNAcentral.
UACGGAGGAUCCAAGCGUUAUCCGGAAUCAUUGAGUUUAAAGGGUCCGUAGGCGGUUUUGUAAGUCAGUGGUGAAAGCCCAUCGCUCAACGGUGGAACGGCCAUUGAUACUGCAAGACUUGAAUUAUUAGGAAGUAACUAGAAUAUGUAGUGUAGCGGUGAAAUGCUUAGAGAUUACAUGGAAUACCAAUUGCGAAGGCAGGUUACUACUAAUGGAUUGACGCUGAUGGACGAAAGCGUGGGGAGCGAACAGG